Molecule: small nucleolar RNA, 90 nt
Organism: Andrographis paniculata
Lineage: Eukaryota; Viridiplantae; Streptophyta; Magnoliopsida; Lamiales; Acanthaceae
Product: small nucleolar RNA snR60/Z15/Z230/Z193/J17
Exons: 1
Source: RefSeq, a predicted model, not a curated record
GGGGGUCGUGUGAUGAUUCGAAGCAUAGUUCAAAUGAUUCAUUUGUGAUUAUAACUUGUAUUAGUCUUUCGCUCCUAUCUGAUGACUCCU